RNAcentral lists this ribosomal RNA (430 nucleotides) under uncultured bacterium. RNAcentral describes it as "bacterial SSU rRNA". It matches the Rfam family "Bacterial small subunit ribosomal RNA", at positions 355 to 776 of the family's 1533-position model. The record is from RNAcentral.
UCGAGGAUCAUUCGCAAUGGGCGCAAGCCUGACGAUGCGACGCUGCGCGGAGGAUGAAGGCCUUCGGGUUGUAAACUCCUGUCAUUCGGGAACAAUAAACCGAUCAUUAAUAAUGGUUGGAAUCGAUAGUACCGGAAGAGGAAGCCACGGCUAACUCUGUGCCAGCAGCCGCGGUAAUACAGAGGUGGCGAGCGUUGUUCGGAUUUACUGGGCGUAAAGGGUGCGUAGGUGGUUUUAUGUGUCGGGCGUGAAAGCCCACUGCUCAACGGUGGAAUGCCGUCCGAAACUAUAAGACCAGAGCGCAGGAGAGGAGAGCGGAAUUCUUGGUGUAGCGGUGGAAUGCGUUGAUAUCAAGAAGAACACCAGUGGCGUAGGCGGCUCUCUGGAAUGUUACUGACACUGAGGCACGAAAGUUGGGGGAGCAAACAGG